CUGCAGUUACGCUUGACCAAAGCAAGGGCAUUACCAUCUCAGCUAACAAUGUGUGCAGUGGGACACAGGAGACGCUGGAGGAAACGCUAAAAGCAGCCAUAAGGUAGCCAGUUCCCUCAGAAAGCCUCCUCCUAAUUGCCAGCAUUAAUGACCAGAGUUAAUUGACAUAGAAGAGAUGCCGAAGUAGCCAUUUGGUCUUGACCUCUCAGACCACAGAAACACGAGUGGUACUGACUUCCAUGUCACCUCCCCAUACAACGCAACCAUAACAUGCAUUUGCCAACUACAGGACUGAACACAUCCUACUGCUUUACGCACCUAAAGCAACUGUUUUUUAGGGGGUGUUCUUUUAAGUUUGCUAUCUUUCAUAAUAUGAUAAGCAGAAUAAAAGAAAAAAUGGACUAAGCAUUAAGUAAUUUAAACUUUCCAGCAUUUCACAAGUAAAAAUCAUAUUAAUCCUGAAUCAAGGGGCAAAUUCAUGGCUUCCAGUCUUGAAAAGUUUGUAAGGCUUGUAAGAAUGCAGCCCCAACAGCUUAAACUGAACUGCGCUGAGCCUAACCAACUUAAAUGCUUUCUGUGAACCCACAACAAUUUUCACUUUCCUGUCUCCUUUGUAGUGCUAAUCAUGGGUACAGAACUGCUAAAAGCCAGGUCAAAACCAUGGCCAAUGUGUUUGAUACGAGAUUACUCAGCUUUCGGAGCUUAAACCCCUACUUGACCUGUGACUGAACAGCCACUUAUCCUGCAAAGCAUUCAAUUUCUGCCAAACUUUACCAGUUGAAACAGUUUUAUAAACAAAUGCAUCAUUAACAGCUUAUUCAUACAAAUCGUUAGGAAAAAAAAAAAAAACGAGGACAACAACAGCACUCAGAAAACAAGAACCAUAACGAGUUCAUUCUAA
Numida meleagris (helmeted guineafowl) is the source of this 901-nucleotide long non-coding RNA. RefSeq lists it as uncharacterized. The record is from RefSeq and is a predicted model, not a curated record. The transcript has 2 exons. NCBI's taxonomy places the organism in Eukaryota, Metazoa, Chordata, Aves, Galliformes, Numididae.